UUCGAGCGUCAUUACAACCCUCAAGCUCUGCUUGGUAUUGGGCCUCACCCGUCAGGGUGGGCCUUAAAAUCAGUGGCGGUGCCAUUCGGCUUCAAGCGUAGUAAUUUUCUCGCUCUGGAGUACCGUUUGCGUGCCUGCCAGCAAACCCAUAUUUUUUAAAGGUUGACCUCGGAUCAGGUAGGGAUACCCGCUGAACUUAA
This 200-nucleotide unclassified non-coding RNA is filed under the name soil metagenome. RNAcentral's name for it is "partial contains internal transcribed spacer 2 and large subunit ribosomal RNA". The record is from RNAcentral.